AUUGAACGCUGGCGGCAGGCCUAACACAUGCAAGUCGAGCGGAUGAAGGGAGCUUGCUCCUGGAUUCAGCGGCGGACGGGUGGGUAAUGCCUAGGAAUCUGCCUGGUAGUGGGGGAUAACGUCCGGAAACGAGCGCUAAUACCGCAUACGUCCUGAGGGAGAAAGUGGGGGAUCUUCGGACCUCACGCUAUCAGAUGAGCCUAGGUCGGAUUAGCUAGUUGGUGGGGUAAAGGCCUACCAAGGCGACGAUCCGUAACUGGUCUGAGAGGAUGAUCAGUCACACUGGAACUGAGACACGGUCCAGACUCCUACGGGAGGCAGCAGUGGGGAAUAUUGGACAAUGGGCGAAAGCCUGAUCCAGCCAUGCCGCGUGUGUGAAGAAGGUCUUCGGAUUGUAAAGCACUUUAAGUUGGGAGGAAGGGCAGUAAGUUAAUACCUUGCUGUUUUGACGUUACCAACAGAAUAAGCACCGGCUAACUUCGUG
This 484-nucleotide ribosomal RNA is filed under the name uncultured bacterium. RNAcentral's name for it is "partial 16S ribosomal RNA". It matches the Rfam family "Bacterial small subunit ribosomal RNA", at positions 30 to 507 of the family's 1533-position model. The record is from RNAcentral.